Molecule: long non-coding RNA, 1841 nt
Organism: Meleagris gallopavo (turkey)
Lineage: Eukaryota; Metazoa; Chordata; Aves; Galliformes; Phasianidae
Source: Ensembl
AUGGUGGACUGCAAAGUUCCACCUGUUAGCCUGAAAGCAGUCUGUAAGCAAAGCACUGUGCUGCACAGGAUGUGCUGGGAAGGCAGUGCAGCACAAACACCAUUCAGAAAGGUCAUGGGGAGAACAGGCAAAGUCAUAUUGGCAAUGUCAAGUCUCAGUCAUCAGUAUGGUGCACUGGAAAGGCUUUGUGCGAAAGCCUUGAGGGCUGAGAGGCAGCUGACAGCCAUUAUCCGAGGCCAAGAGCACCUGGGAACGCCAGGAUCUGACCCCAUUUGGGCAUCUCAUCUCAAGGUAUCUCAACACUCAUCAUUUUCCUGUCAUUUGAAUUUCCAAACUGUUGGUGUAUUUAAAUGCAUAGUGGCUCCGUGCCACCCCAGGCAGAACUCAGCACUGGGUAGGAUAGAAAACGCUGACAGAAGGACCCAACAUUGACAGAAAGUACUUACUGUUGCAGCAGCUUCCAGAAGCCCUUGCUUACUCAGUGCACAAGAAAAGUAUGAUGUUGCUCUCUUUGCACUCUGCACAUCACUAAAGAAAAGCAAUUAAGUGAAUGCUGUCAUGGUAUAAAGUCUUCUCUCAGUAGCUUAAAUCACAGGGUAUAGCUAAUGCCAGCUCCAGAACAGAGAUGCAGUAAGAGAAUACUCAGAGGCUGCUUGCUCAGCCCUGCUCACCCUGCCGGCUGGUCACACACUGUGUGCUUAGUCAGCCACAGAGCCAGGAUUUGAUUUACUAUUUCUCAGUUCUGUAACACUCCCUCUGUGUGAACCUGAGGAAAAUGGGAGAAGGGCAAAUAAGCAUCUAACCUGGAUUAAAUGGCAGUAGGAAGAGCUUCUUUGAUAUAUAUUUUUUUUUUCUACUGUGUUUUUAUAAGGGCUGCAUUCUGCUUAUAAGUGUUUCAAUGAAAUGUUUGUAACUCGUGUGCUGCAUGCUGCACUAUCACUGUUCUGCUGCAGUCAUUCACCUGCACACAGCUCUGGGAUAAGCCCUGGGACGUGGUCGUCCUGGGCAGCAUUUUGGGAGCACUUUUAUGCAGAACUCAGAGUGCUGUCCUGCUGCAGUCCUUACCCAGGAUAUUUUAUUCCAGCAGUAUAAGGAACAGCUUUGAUACUUGUAACACAUCAUUGCUACCUGCUGAUCUGCCACGCUCCUCUGUUCUGCUCGCUGUGCCUGCAAGUCUGUCACGUAGCAGCUGCAAGCUGGAUUGGCACUUGCUGGCUGAUGCUGCAUGUUGAAUCAGUUGAGGUUCACCAGUAAAAGUAUCAGACAUCAGUAGUUCAGAAGAUUUCCUUUCAUCAUUCAGUGCUCUGAUCAUAAAUGCUGGCAGCACUGCAGACUUUGAUUGACAGAUUUUGUUCUACCUCAGGUUCCCGAUAUCUGAUUUUUGCUAUGUUCAGCCAAGCUGUCUAGAAACAUCUUGUCCCGUUUCAGUCUUAUCUCAAUAGUUUCUUUCCCUCAUCUCUGCUUGGCUGCUGCAUUACGAGGUGGGUGACAGCAGUUGUUCCAGCCCCUUUUGAAGGGGUGUAUGACAGCCUACAGCUCCUGCCCUGGCAUUUAAUGUGAGUUCUUGGUCGCAUGUUCUGACUGGGGGGAAAAAAAAAUCUGAUUUUUCAGCUGGUUUUCAGGUGAAGGUAGAGGUAUUAAGGACAUUCUAUGCUCUUUCAUACAAGGUUUGCUGAAGCGAGUCUCAUCCAUCUGAAUUAGAGAGCCAGGGUCCACCUGUGCCUAUUAGAUUGGUUAGAAUGGUCCAGUGAUUUAUUACAAAUAAGUGCCACAGAAGUGAAGCAUUUCAGGAGCAAAUCUUGAGAAUCAAAUCUCAGUUGGCAGCAGUUUGUCACAUCUCC